RNAcentral lists this ribosomal RNA (346 nucleotides) under Pediococcus pentosaceus. Its description in RNAcentral is "bacterial SSU rRNA". It matches the Rfam family "Bacterial small subunit ribosomal RNA", at positions 56 to 390 of the family's 1533-position model. The record is from RNAcentral. Lineage: Bacteria; Bacillati; Bacillota; Bacilli; Lactobacillales; Lactobacillaceae.
UGAUUAUGACGUACUUGUACUGAUUGAGAUUUUAACACGAAGUGAGUGGCGAACGGGUGAGUAACACGUGGGUAACCUGCCCAGAAGUAGGGGAUAACACCUGGAAACAGAUGCUAAUACCGUAUAACAGAGAAAACCGCAUGGUUUUCUUUUAAAAGAUGGCUCUGCUAUCACUUCUGGAUGGACCCGCGGCGUAUUAGCUAGUUGGUGAGGUAAAGGCUCACCAAGGCAGUGAUACGUAGCCGACCUGAGAGGGUAAUCGGCCACAUUGGGACUGAGACACGGCCCAGACUCCUACGGGAGGCAGCAGUAGGGAAUCUUCCACAAUGGACGCAAGUCUGAUGGA